AUUCAUAGCCAAAGUAACAAUGUGCAUAAAGAAACAGCCUAGUGGAAGAAUUUACCCAUGCUUAUUGGCAAGGCUGUCCCCAUUUAAUUGGUAUCAGAUUCUGAUUUACACAAGCAACAGUU
Molecule: small nucleolar RNA, 122 nt
Filed under: Meriones unguiculatus (Mongolian gerbil)
Lineage: Eukaryota; Metazoa; Chordata; Mammalia; Rodentia; Muridae
Description: Small nucleolar RNA SNORA24 (ENSMUGG00000019409.1)
Rfam family: Small nucleolar RNA SNORA24
About the family: ACA24 is a member of the H/ACA class of snoRNA that guide the sites of modification of uridines to pseudouridines.
Source: RNAcentral